Molecule: long non-coding RNA, 1184 nt
Organism: Armigeres subalbatus
Lineage: Eukaryota; Metazoa; Arthropoda; Insecta; Diptera; Culicidae
Exons: 3
Source: RefSeq, a predicted model, not a curated record
GGUGAAAGAAUGUUUCGACAGUUUUCAAAUUUUUGCUGUUUUGUUCGUUUUGCUGCUCUGAAAUUAUUCGAAAAUGAUGAACCGCCGUGGAGGACACAAGUACAAUGUCUGUGGGGCCGCGGAAGUCGAGAAUCCGACCAAAUUCGCUUCGCUGAAACGACCGUUAUUGCGUACGACAGCAAUAAUGCCUCAACAAAUAGAAGUGCAAUGGAAAAACAGAUUUUUUCAACCCGGUAGCAGCGUUGCGAAGCGGUCAUGGCUUGAGUGUGCCAGUUACAAGAACACGAUUGUUUCCGCGACUGUUUCCAACCAGAUUAUGGAGUUAGACGAAGGUGUUUUUCUGAAUGUGUUUUGUACCUGAUGAACCUUCAUGAUUUCAAGAUACCGUCGAGCUUCCAGAUUAGCCGAUCCAUAUAUCAGCAAUCAACUGAAACUCCUGGCAACAGCCCCCUAGUCGUGAAUUGGCCCAGCAGAGUAGAUCCAGUGAUUUUGAUCGUCGUAUAAACAUUCCUAUUUUCGAAGGUUUUUCCAAACGUCCCCAAGCAGAUGAUAUUGGAUGAGGUAGAUAUCGAUUGGCUAAUAGAUUCUUCGAAAGUAGAACUACUAAUCUGAGCCAUACCAGUUGGUUCUUGAUGAGGCGGAUCGGAUGACGACAUUGUUUGUUAUUUGUAUAAUGUGAGGAUCGUACCGAUGAUAAAAAUCCAUCAGAAGCUGCAACCCGCAACGAUGCGCUUUAAUUAUUUUAAAACAGAUAGUAACAGAUCGCUGAGACCGAAGAAUUCCAGUUCCCUAGCAAGUUCACCAGAGACACGAGAAAUCCAAGAACGAUAAAUAUACACCUAACAGCUUCUGCUCCUCACCAACCUACUGGGGAAAAUCGACGAGAUAAUGCUGUGUAUGUUCAAUUAGCUUAUGGGCUUUCAAGAAAAUGAGCCUGAUAUCUAAAAGGGCCGAUAUUGCAUUCGUAGAAUUUGCUGUGGAGAAUUGCUUCCUGUAGGACUUGUAAAAUAUUUCGAUUCCUGAUUUAGCUGGCGCUUGUGAUGGAAGUCUAGAAUCACAGAAAAACAGAUAUAACGCAUAAAACACUACCUGAUAAAAAUAAUAAUCACUAACAUCCCAGACAAACAGACGUAACUUUUUAUAUUGUUCGAAAUUUCGUUCAUAUUCGUUUUGAAGAAAACACA